UGUGUGUGUGUGUGUGUGUGUGUGUGUGUGUGUGUGUGUGUGUGUGUGUGUGUGUGUGUGUGUGUGUGUGUGUGUGUGUGUGUGUGACCAGUACGACCAUACAUCAUCUAGGCUGACAGUCAAAGGCGCUAGCUUGCCCAACUUGGGGGAUCCGUUAAGCUACUCAAAUCAAAUCAAAGUUUAUUUUUCACACGCGGAAUACAACAGGUGUAGACCUUACAGUGAAAUACUUACUUACAGACUCUAACCAAUAGUGCAAAAAAGGUAUUAGGUGAACAAUAGGUAAGUAAAGAAAUAAAAACAACAGUAAAAAGACACUGAAAAAUAACAGUAGAGAGGCUAUAUACAGUAGAGAGGCUUUAUACAGUAGUGAGGCUAUAUACAGUAGUGAGGCUAUGUACAGUAGAGAGGCUCUAUACAGUAGAGAGGCUAUAUACAGUAGAGAGGCUCUAUACAGUAGAGAGGCUAUAUACAGUAGAGAGGCUAUAUACAGUAGAGAGGCUAUAUACAGUAGAGAGGCUAUAUACAGUAGAGAGGCUAUGUACAGUAGAGAGGCUAUAUACAGUAGAGAGGCUUUAUACAGUAGUGAGGCUAUAUACAGUAGAGAGGCUAUAUACAGUAGAGAGGCUCUAUACAGUAGAGAGGCUAUAUACAGUAGAGAGGCUAUAUACAGUAGUGAGGCUAUAUACAGUAGAGAGGCUCUAUACAGUAGACAGGCUAUAUACAGUAGAGAGGCUAUAUACAGUAGAGAGGCUAUAUACAGUAGCGAGGCUAUAUACAGUAGAGAGGCUAUAUACAGACACCGGUUAAUCGGGCUGAUUGAGGUUGUUUGUACAUUUAGAUAUGGUUAAAGUGACAAUGCAUAUAUGAUGAACAGAGAGUAGCAGUAGCGUAUGACUGGUGUGGCUGGGUCUUUGACAAUUUUUAGGGCCAUCCUCUGACACCGUCUGGUCAGGAUGCUCUCGAUGUUGCAGCUGUAGAACCUUUUGAGGAUCUCAGGACCCAUGCCAAAUGUUUUUAGUUUCCUGAGGGGGAAUAGGCUUUGUCGUGCCCUCUUCACGACUGUCUUGGUGUGUUUGGACCGUUCUAGUUUGUUGGUGAUGUGGACGCCAAGGAAGUUGAAGCUCUCAACCUGCUCCACUCCAGCCCAGUCGAUGAAAAUGGGGGCGUGCUCGGUCCUCUUUUUCCUGUCGUCCACAAUCAUCUCCUUAGUCUUGGCUACUUUGAGGUAUAGGUCGUUAUUCUGGCACCACCCGGCCAGAUGAUGGUGUUGGAGUCGUGCCUGGGCAUGCAGUCGACGGUGAACAGGGAGUACAGGAGGGGACUGAGCACGCACCCCUGGGGGGCUCCAGUGCUGAGGAUCAGCGUGGCAGAUGUGUUGCUAUCUACCCUCAUCACCUGGGGGUGGCCUGUCAGGAAGUCCAGGAUCCAGUUGCAGAGAGAGGUGUUUAGUACCUGGAUCCUUAACUUAGUGAUGAGCUUUGAGGGCACUAUGGUGUUGAACGCUGAACUGCAGUCAAUGAAUAGCAUUCUCACAUAGGUGUUCCUUUUGUUCAGGUGGGAAAGGGCUGUAUGGAGUGCAAUAGAGAUUGCAUCAUCUGUGGAUCUGUUUGGGCGGUAUGAAAAUUGGAGUGUGUCUAGGGUUUCUAGGAUAAUAGUGUUGAUGUGAGCCAUUACCAGCCUUUCAAAGCACUUCAUGGCUACGGACGUGAGUGCUACGGGUCUGUGUUCAUUUAGGCAGGUUGCCUUUGUGUUCUUGGGCACAGGGACUAUGGUGGUCUGCUUGAAACAUGUUUGUAUUACAGUCUCAAUCAGGGACAUGUUGAAAAUGUCAGUGAAGACCCCUGCCAGUUGGUCAGCACAUGCCAGGAGCACACGUCCUGGUAAUCCGUAUGGCCCCGCAGCCUUGUGAAUGUUAACGUGUUUAAAGGACUUACUCACAUCGGCUACGGAGAGCGUGAUCACACAGUCGUCGGGAACAUGCAUGCCUCAGUGUUGCUUGCCUCGAAGUGAGCAUAGAAGUGAUUUAGCUCGUCUGGUAGUGUUGUGUUACUGGGCAGCCCACGGCUGUGCUUCCCUUUGUAGUCUGUAAUAGUUUGCAAGCCCUGCCACAUAAGACGAGCGUCGGAGCCGGUGUAGUAUGAUUCAAUCUUAGCCCUGUAUUGACGCUUUGCCUGUUUGAUGGUUCGUCGCAGGGCAUAGCAGGAUUUCUUAUAAGCUUCCGGGUUAGAGUCCUGCACCUUGAAAGCGGCAGCUCUACCCUUUAGCUUAGUGCGAAUGUUGCCUAUGAUCCUAGGCUUCUGGUUGUGGUAUGAACGUACAGUCACUGUGGGGACGACGUCCUCGAUUCACUUAUUGAUAAAGCCAGUGACUGAUGUGGUGUACUCCUCAAUGCCAUCGGAAGAAUCCCGGAACAUAUUACAGUCUGUGAUAGCAAAACAGUCUUGUAGUUUAGCAUCUGAUUCAUCUGACCACUUUUUUAUAGACCGAGUCACUGGUGCUUCCUGCUUUAAUUUUUGCUUGUAAGCAGGAAUCAGGAAGAUAGAGUUGUGGUCGGAAGUAUGUCAGGCGUGACUUCCUGACUGUUAUCCAGAAACACACACAGUAAGCCAAGACAAAUGCUGAUCGACAGCUGACUGUGUUAAAUCAGUUUCACUGACAGUUUCAUUC
Molecule: long non-coding RNA, 2670 nt
Organism: Oncorhynchus tshawytscha (Chinook salmon)
Lineage: Eukaryota; Metazoa; Chordata; Actinopteri; Salmoniformes; Salmonidae
Source: Ensembl